GACGAACGCUGGCGGCGCGCCUAACACAUGCAAGUCGAACGGGACCAUUUUAGAGUUUACUUUGGGAUGGUUUAGUGGCGGACGGGUGAGUAACACGUGAGCAACCUACCUUUCAGAGGGGGAUAACAGUUGGAAACGACUGCUAAUACCGCAUAACGUUGUAAAAGGGCAUCCAUUUACAACCAAAAGAGAAAUCUGCUGAAAGAUGGGCUCGCGGCCGAUUAGAUAGUAGGCGGGGUAACGGCCCACCUAGUCAACGAUCGGUAGCCGGACUGAGAGGUUGAACGGCCACAUUGGGACUGAGACACGGCCCAG
RNAcentral lists this ribosomal RNA (315 nucleotides) under uncultured bacterium. RNAcentral describes it as "bacterial SSU rRNA". It matches the Rfam family "Bacterial small subunit ribosomal RNA", at positions 28 to 334 of the family's 1533-position model. The record is from RNAcentral.